CCUACGGGUGGCAGCAGUCGAGAAUCAUUCACAAUGGGGGAAACCCUGAUGGUGCGACGCCGCGUGGGGGAAUGAAGGUCUUCGGAUUGUAAACCCCUGUCAUGUGGGAGCAAAUUAAAAAGAUCGUACCACACGAGGAAGAGACGGCUAACUCUGUGCCAGCAGCCGCGGUAAUACAGAGGUCUCAAGCGUUGUUCGGAAUCACUGGGCGUAAAGCGUGCGUAGGCUGUUUCGUAAGUCGUGUGUGAAAGGCGCGGGCUCAACCCGCGGACGGCACAUGAUACUGCGAGACUAGAGUAAUGGAGGGGGAGGCGGAAUUCUCGGUGUAGCAGUGAAAUGCGUAGAUAUCGAGAGGAACACUCAUGGCGAAGGCGGGUUACUGGGCAUUAACUGACGCUGAGGCACGAAGGCCAGGGGAGCGAAAGGGAUUAGAUACCCGUGUAGUC
This 446-nucleotide ribosomal RNA is filed under the name uncultured bacterium. RNAcentral's name for it is "partial 16S ribosomal RNA". It matches the Rfam family "Bacterial small subunit ribosomal RNA", at positions 338 to 795 of the family's 1533-position model. The record is from RNAcentral.